Molecule: long non-coding RNA, 401 nt
Organism: Mustela putorius furo (domestic ferret)
Lineage: Eukaryota; Metazoa; Chordata; Mammalia; Carnivora; Mustelidae
Source: Ensembl
GGGGCCUCAGAGACCGGGACGCUCGGGACCGGAAGAAUGUAGCGAGAGGGAAUUCUGCAUUCCAGGGCUGAGCACUGGACUCUUGAACCAGUUAGAGCCUGUGUCACUUGGCCGGGUUGUGCCAAAAGCUGUUUAAUGCCUAUCCCUGCUUCCUGAUGAUCCAGCUGACAGGAUGCAGGGUCAUGGGAGCAAUUCAGAACCAUACACAGUCUAUACUGGGAAGAACCUGCACCUGUGCUGGAUGGAGUUAUCCUCAACACAUGAAUGUUUUAAAUAAAAGUUUGUUAAAACCGUCAUUUAAAAUCAUAAACAAAGGGGCACCUAGCUGGCUUAGUUAGUAGAGCAUGUGACUCCUGAUCUUGGGGGUUGUAGGUUCUCGCCCAGCAAUGGUUGUAAAGAUC